UCCUUUAUUAGAAGACCGCAAGACCCUAAGAUGUUGGGAAUUCUUAAAUUGGCACAACCUUUUAUUAAACCUAGUUCAAUUUUAGUCAAAUUUGGUUUCGGUCUCCGCAUCAUAUUCCCCCAAUGGAGAGUAUUUAGAAGGAAAGGAUUUUGGCGAUACUUGGAGAUUGAAGAAUACGGGAAAAGGGAUGCAAGAUAUUGGAAGAACAUUGAUAUGGGGUUCAGACUCUUGGAAAAUACUGAUGCAACUGAUGAUAUGAGACAUAUGUUGAUGAUAUCAGUUGGAUCUGAAUGGAAAGAAUGGAAGCAUGAAGCAAAAAGAUGUGGUUUGAACCAUAUGGUACUGAUAUUGAGCGCUUAGCUCAUCGUUCGAACAUGGUUGAAGAAAAUCAGUGGCGUUCAUUAGUUCAUUAUUGGAGCUCAAAUGCUGCAAAGUGAAUUGUGUCACUAAAUAAAUAUCGCCGUAUCCUUACUUUCUUGUAGUUACUCAUUAUCAUCAAUUUCAAUUGUUCACACAAAUAAGGUGAGUUUGAGCAUUGUGUACUAGUUAAUCAUCAAAGUUGUGAGUUUAAUUGCUCAGGUGUUGUGAUCUUAUUUUUUAAGCAAAAUAUGUGAAAGUUAGUUGUUGAUAUAUUGGAUAUGUAGCAAAUUUUGUACUAUGGCUACAACCUGUUUGAGCUGUAGUGCAAACUGAUUUUGGACAGUUGUUUUUACCUCACUUAGAAUGCAUUUAGUGGAAAACUACCUUUCCUACCCAUCUCCAUCAUUUCUUUAUUUCUCUUACAAAUGCAAUAAAUGCAAUCUUAUAUCAUCAUCAGAUUCGUUGUAUUUAUUUUUGUAUGUUUUGUUGUUUGGAGAUUUGAGAAUAUCUUAUAACUUUGUGAAACUCAAUUCUUUUGGUUAUUAUCUUUCCAGUAUGAGUUAUGAGUAGGCUAAUUUUGUCUUGGCUUAUUUCUUUAUAAUUUUUGCCUCUUCUGGUUUGGUUUGGUGAAAGUUCUGUCACUGUUUGGUUGAAGUAUGCUUAAUUCUAGCUUUUUUUAAAAUUGAAAUUUACUUGUCUGUUAGCAUUUUAAGAAUUGAUGAGUUUGUACUGGAUGAUAUCUUUGUGAUUUGUAAAUAGUGGAGCUUUUAGUUUAGAAGAACUUUUACAAUGGUGUCAGAGAAGAAAAUCUAGUAUAAAGGUGUUGUCAUAUGUAUUCAGUGUUGCCUCUAGACUUCUGCUUAUAAGUUAAAGUUGUUAUGCUAUUUUUGUGGAAGUGUGCAACAUUCUAGGGCUAUAUAGGCUUUGUCUUGUUGUUCGUAUCUUGUAUUCUACAAUCAAUUUUGAAUUCUAUAAACUAUCAAAGUAACCUUUCUAAUAUUUUUUUCUCAAGUUAACAAAAUUAAAAAGAACGAAACUAAUGAACUUGGGACCAAAAAGAGAAGUGGGUUAGUUCGGAAAAACAUGCAGCACAUAUGGUAUUUUUUCAGCUUUAUUACAUAGUUGUAAUUCUCCUUUAAUGUGAUUCUUUUGCAGAACUUCUGAACGAUGUAAGAUCAAUUAUUAGAAUACUUGACUUGUGGAAAGAUGUAUCCAUAAAGCCUUGUUGCAGAAUUUAUUCUAGAAGUUAAGGGAAUUCAUUCAGAUUAGGAUUGAAUUUGACAUAGUUCCAUGUUACAAUUACUUUUAUCUUUUAUGAUUUAGUUAGAACUAAGUUUUAUUUGAGAUAUAACAGGUCAUUGAGUUGAACUCUAACUUGUA
Nicotiana tabacum (common tobacco) is the source of this 1740-nucleotide long non-coding RNA. RefSeq lists it as uncharacterized. Lineage: Eukaryota; Viridiplantae; Streptophyta; Magnoliopsida; Solanales; Solanaceae. The record is from RefSeq and is a predicted model, not a curated record.